RNAcentral lists this ribosomal RNA (405 nucleotides) under Myrmeleon formicarius. RNAcentral's name for it is "SSU rRNA". It matches the Rfam family "Eukaryotic small subunit ribosomal RNA", at positions 1038 to 1401 of the family's 1831-position model. The record is from RNAcentral. Lineage: Eukaryota; Metazoa; Arthropoda; Insecta; Neuroptera; Myrmeleontidae.
GAUGCCAGCUAGCGAUCCGCCAAAGUUCCUCCGAUGACUUGGUGGGCAGCUUCCGGGAAACCAAAGCAUUUGGGUUCCGGGGGAAGUAUGGUUGCAAAGCUGAAACUUAAAGGAAUUGACGGAAGGGCACCACCAGGAGUGGAGCCUGCGGUUAAAUUUGACUCAACACGGGAAACCUCACCAGGCCCGGACACCGGAAGGAUUGACAGAUUGAGAGCUCUUUCUUGAUUCGGUGGGUGGUGGUGCAUGGCCGUUCUUAGUUGGUGGAGCGAUUUGUCUGGUUAAUUCCGAUAACGAACGAGACUCUAGCCUACUAAAUAGACGUACUUUAUUACCGGCAUCUCAAGGCCCAUCGGCUGUAUUGUUACUGAAUGUUAUUUGUAUAUUUUGUUGAUAUAUAUUUAU